UUCAGUAGUUAGAUUUUACUGCUGGGCCUGAAAUCUAGAUAGAUUAUCUGUUUCUUCAGUACACAUUCUAAACUGCUUAUCAAUAUAUUUCAUUACAUAUUUUUCUAGCAAGAAAAUAAACUUUUUAAUAUUUCUGGUACUCCCCUUAAUGUAAGAAAGGUAGCUAGUAUAUUUUAUCUACCUAUUAAGUAUCAAUCUUGUUAGUGUAAUUGUUGGAGCUUUACUUGUAUCUGGUUUUCAUCAUACGGAAAUGUGAUUAUCAUUGAUUUCUAAACCACGGUUUAAUUAUAUGUACUUAUAAAUUUUAGAUAUAACUAUGCCCAUGGUCGUUGUUGUUGUACCCUAUGGUCUCCUUUCUGGGUUCACUUUUCUUAUUGUUAAAUCACACUUUAUAGGCAAUUCUUUACUGCGAGCCCUGGGUAGUACACCCUUUUUGUAUGUCUAAAACUAUUUUUAUUUGUCUUUUAUCAUAAAUUACAAUUUUGAGUAUUUUUGCUCAGCAUGUUACAGAUAUUACUCAGUUAUAUCUGUGACUAUUGUUCAGUCAACUAUUCUUAAGAGAAAUCUGCUAUCAAUUUUAUCUUUUUACAGGUAAUCUGCUUUUCUCCUCCUGGCAGCUUUUAAGUAUUUUAUCAUCUGAUAGUUUCUCUUAAAUAUGAUUAGUUGUGGAUUUAUUUGUAAUUAUCAGUCAUGAACUCAGUGUAUACUAUUUAAUCUCAAGACUUCAAUUCUAGAAAUUCUGAUAUUAUCUUUUCCCUGGUCAUUUUUCAUUGCCUACGUAUUUUUCUUCUGGAAUUUUUUUGUUUGUUUGUUUUGUUUGUUGAUUUUUUUUUUUGAGAUAGGGUUUCACUGUGUAGUCCAGGCUGGCCUUGUUCUCCUGGUUCUUCUGGAAUUCCCAUAAGAUAUAUGUAUAUGUUUCCUAAUCAAUUCAACAUAUCUCAAAUGCUAUUUCAUUUUCUAAAAGUCUAUUUUAUUUUCUUUCUUUUCUCUCUCUCUUUUAUUUUUUAUUUUAUUUUAUUUUAUUUAUUUAUUUAUUUAUUUAUUUAUUUAUUUAUUUAUUUAUUUUUGAGACAAAGUCUUGCUAUGUAGUCUUGACUUCACUAUACAGCCCAGUCUGGCUUCAAACUCCCAGUGAUUCUCCUGCCUCCGCCUCUUUACUACUUGGAUUAAAGCGUGUACCAACACACUUGGCUAAAAAUUCUAUUUUACUUACUUGAAUUUUUUUUCUGAAUAUUUUCCUUAAAAUUACAUGCUAGCUCAGUGUUCUCCUAAAAAUUGCCCUCAUAAGUUAUGCCAUGUAUUGCACUUUUAUUGUCAAUGAACACAUUUUGAAAUUUUAAGAUUUCUGACUGAUUUUUUAAUCUUAUUAACCUGUUCUUAUUUUACUGCUGUUUUUAAUGUAUAAUUUCUUGUUCUCUUAUGGUAUAGUUAUCUCUGAGCAUCUCAAACAUAGUCCUGUUGAGGUCAUUGUGAAACUCUAAAAAUCAAAUUCAUCUGGAGUGAAUCUUAUAAUAAUUGACUCUGUUGGUUGUUUUCCUUAGAUUAGAUUUCUGACUACAUUUUAGAAUUUUGUCUUGCAGGGUCAUCUUGGUCCUAGGCAUUUUUGUUUUCUCUCUUUUCUUUCCCUUUUCUUUUCUUUGCUUAUAUGUCCUAAACUAUUGCUUUUCCUAUAGUUUCUAUCUGGAUCCCUGAAUUCCUAGGCCGAAUGCAGAUCUUACGGUGGCAGCUUUUAGUUUCAUCUCCAUAUUUGAUCAUAAACCUAUGUCUUUUUCUUUCUGCCUUGCAAAGAGGCAACAGUUGGCCAAAGCUGUGGCAGCCUGUUGCUGAAGUAGUAAGCCAGAGUCAGGCUCACCAUUUCAUAUGGAGCCUUGUUGACCCCAAUACUCCGAGGACUAGGCUUUCAGACGUCUUUGUGUGCUUCCAGGUCCAGAUUUCAGUAUGCCUAUCUAUGGCUUUAGCACCAUUCACUGGUUUUGUUUCUUUCCAUAAAUAAUCAUCUUAUUAAAAUCCAAUUCUACCUUUUUGGUUUUCUCAUGUUAUAUGGAAUUUUUAAAGUUACAGUAUAUUUUGAACAGCACAGCUUUAAUUUUUUUUACCUCUUUUUUAUGCAGAUGCAUCAUUUAAAAACAAAUAAUAUUAUAAAUUACAGUUACUAUUUAAUGUUAAAUUGUGAUGGGCACUGAAUUUUACAUAGAUUACCUUAUUCAAUUCUCUCAGCUAUUCUGAUUCCCAUUAUAUCGAGUAAGAAAUUGAGAGAAAGUAAGCUAAAUAAAUUUUCACUUAGGAAAAAGGUUAUAAUUAGUAAAUGGCAGGAAUAACAUUUGAAUCCCAUUUUCCCUACUAACAGAAUUGGUGUCUUUAAACUGUUAUCCUGUGCUAAAAUUCUGUAAUUUUUUAACUUAUUUCUUUUUAACAAACUAAUUUAAAUAAUUUCUAUUUUUGUAAAAAAAAUAGUUCUAGUCCUAUUUAGAAAUCUUAUUUUAUGUUUUCUUUGCUUUUAUGCUUCCUGUUUCUCAUUCUCUUUCUCUCUCUCUCUCUCUCGCCUCUUGCUCCCUCCUUCUAUAUCUUUCUCUUUUGAUAUAUGAUUAUAUUGUUUCAUCUGCUAUUGAUCUGGUAAUUUGGAUGUAUUAAAACAUAGUUUUUUCUAGUAAUAAUUACUGUCAUUUGUCCAAAUAAAUUCAUUUCUAUUUUAUUAGCAUUAAUGAAAGUGUAUACUGUAAAAAAUAAGGAGUAUAAGAUGCUAUUUCUUCAUACAUCUUCUGUCACCCGAUUUCUGAUUUUUUUUCUUAUAUUACCUUACGUCAGAUAUUGAACAUUAUUAUUAUUGAUACAGCAGUAGAAAGAAUAAUCACCAAAAAGGUGGCUUAUUUUAGGUAGCAGAGUGAUUCUAGCACUAAACAGGUGCUCAGUAAAUACUUAUCAAGUGUUAAAUUAACAAACAUGUUCUUUUUAUCACAUGUGCACACAGAAAAAGAAAACAGGUGAGACCUUUUUAGAGUCUUCAUUUGCUAUUGCAUGACUUCUUAUUUCAUUUAGAACUGGAAUUUUGUAAGCUAUUGAACCACCAUAUAAUACAAUAAAUAACUCUCGAUUCUUUUGUUAAGCAGAUCUAUGCUUUGUGAAGCAGCCUUUUGCAAUCAAUGACUUUACAUUCAAUUUAGUUCCAUUCAUCCCUAUUUUUACAUUUUCUCCUUGUGCUCUACUCCUGACCCCCACAAUUCAUAAAUAUAUUUCAUAAGUCUCAAAUCAGUAACUAAUGUUUUCAUUGUGCAAAUACUAUGAGAUUCUUGGAUAUAAAGUAGUGACUAAAUGGCAAUCAUUUUAUCAUAUUAAAUGUCUCUUUACCCCAGUUCUUCAAGAAUAGUUUGUGUGGUUUAUUGUUUAAGGAAAGGAAUUUUUGAAGUAAUGCUACUGUUUUAUUUUUGGUGGUAGUUCUCAAAAUCCCCAACUAUAGUCAAAGGAAAUUCUUUAUAUAAAUUUCUAAGAAAAUGGAUUUUUUCAUUGAUAUAAAAAGAAACUUUAUGAUGAUCUAAAACAUGCUAGAGUAAAAACACUGUGCUUCUAUUGUAGCAAAGCAGUUAAAUAAAACAAUAUAGAAUAGCAAAAAGAAAAAAGAAAACAAAGUAUAAACUGGGUCAUUUGUUGAUGUGCAAAUUUUAUGGAAAUUUUAAUGACACAUUUGAUUGAUUUAUAAGGAGUCUAUAUUAUACUGUUAUAAGAACACUCAAGCCUUCUAUGUGGCAUAAUUUUAACAAUCUUUUAUACAUAACAACAGAUUGAAAUUAAACUGUCUUCCUAGCUGUUUCUAUUCUUUAAAUUAUAAAAUGAUUUUUAUUAUUCUCUUUUUAAAACUGUUGACUGAGAAUCAGGAAAUUUGGUUUCUAGUCCUAGUUCUGUCAUUUAACUGGCUGUAUGACCAUGAGUAAAUCAUUGAACUCUUUGCACCGAUUUGUCUUUCAUAAUGUAGAAAGUUGGAAUUGAUGCUUGAAAAUGUUCUUUCCAUUUUUUGUGUUCUAGUAUUCUACAUUGUAUCUGUCUAUAUGCAGAAACAUAUAUAAAAACUUAACUCUAAGUAUGUUUAGUUACUUUUCUCUUUGCUGACACAAAAUACCCAACACCCAGAGUUAAAGGAGGAAAGGUUUAUUUAGCUCACAGUUUGUAGAGGAUUCAGUCCAUAAUGGGCACAAGGCAGAGGGGCAACAGUUCACGGCAGUGAGAGAUAGCAAAAGAAAUAAGAGACCUUAACAGUAUCAUCCUCCCCCUUUUAUCUUAUCCAGACUGCUUAGGGCUGGUAGCACUCACACCCUUAAUCCUAGUGCUCUUGAGCCUAGCAUUAAACCAUGAAUCAAUUCCAGCAUCACACACUCUAGAUCCAGCCACCUCCAAAAAAGCCCCACCUAAGAACACAGGAGGCCUUGGGAAGACAUCUAAACACAAGCUAUAGCAAUGUAUACAAACUAUAACAGUGCCCCAUAUACCAGUAGUUUAAGCUGUUCGACAGACAUCAUGAGGAAAUAAGUAAGGGGGAACUGCUGUAGGCUCUUCCUCUGAACUGACAGAAUGAAAGCAUUUUCAAAAGUAUUAUUGGGCAUCAUUGUGCAAAAUGGAUCACAACAGAAGUAAUCAACCAGGCUGAUUUGGUGCCUUGGAUCAGGGUAAGAUAAGGAAAGUGCACACCAUAGUGAUACAGAGAUGAAGUAUAAUCACAAGGUAUGAAGAUACUGAGAUAUAUAUUCAUUCAAAAAUAAUAGCUAAAAGUAACAUUUUUAAAAUCAUGAAAGGAAAUACAAGUAUCUAAUAAACAUGAAAAAAUAUCUCACUAGCACUCAAUACAAUUUAUAAAAAACAAUAAAUCUCAAUGCUAGUAAGUAUGCAGUAAAAUAGGCACAACUGAAGAAUUUCAGUUUACUCACCUUCUGAAAUACAGGUAUAUAUAGAUUUUCACUUUCCCCCACCAGAACCACAUCAUUUUUGUUUCCAUUGCCUGUUGUUUCUCAGAGUUUCUCUGUUUCUUUUUUGGAUCCUUGUACCUUUGCCUUAGGUGAUCACCCUGCACUUUGACAUUCCAAAACUUCAUUUCUUCAAUCAUUUCUGCCCUUACUACACUGAAACCACAUUUACAUGCACAUGAAAUCACUUUCCCUUAUCCUAAAGGAGGAAGUCUGUCUAGAUCAUUCUGUGUGUUACCAAUUAUCUUUAACUUCUAAAUUUGUUAUUAUAAAAAUUGUUGCUCUAAUAAUGGCAUUUUGAGUAAUUGAAUAGAUGAAAAUGAAGUAAAGAACACAUUCAUGAUGUUACUGCAAAGUCAUUUUUAUUCAGUGGAAAAAAUGCUACUGAUAAACUUAUUAGGCACCCUUUUCAAGAAUAGACUCUCAGUCAUCUGCUCUAUGUAAAAAUGAAUAAACAUAACAACUUACUGGGGUCUGUACCCAGAAAUUUAGCCAAAAAAGAAACCCACGUGGGAAGAAUGAACUAGAUAAAGUUUUAUCAGUUCAAAAUACCCAACUACUUAGUAUGGUCCUUUUCUAACAAAACUGUAUAAGUAAAAACAUAAUUGUCUUUAAAACCUAUAUUCCUUACCCUAGCCUAUGGCAAAGUACUGAAGAAAGUAAAAGUUUCCAGACAACGCCCUUUUACCCUUGUGGGAGGAGAAUGAGCACACUCUAUCCAGGCCUCCACAGAAGUACAAGUCAUUUGUGGAUACGCUCAUCUCCUUUUCAGAAAGUUUUCCUGAACUUUUUCAGAAGGCAGAGACUGUGUGUCUUUAUUACCUCAAAUUCUGUCAAAUUGCAUGAUCAUUGGAUGCACUGAUAUAGGAUUAGCAGUUUUAUUAGGCUUAUUUUAGUAUCUAAAAUAUAAAGUAAAAGUCACUUGGCUAUAAAUGCUUACACUUUUUACUCUAACUCAUCUUACUAGCAUUUAGGUGAAUGUCUUAGAAUGAUAAUAUUAUGGAGUUUUGAACAUCUUUGAGAGUAAAUAACUUUCAAAAACCUAUUUUUCUGCAAGAUUGAGAGUGAAAAUAGUAUAGUUCUUAAGAGCUCUUUUGGUUAUUAGUGUGGCAUUAAUAACAAGUUAUUAAAUCUCUGAAUUUCAAUUUUCACAUCUGAGAGAUGGGAAUAGUCCUUGUAGUGGGGAUUAGAUAAGAUACUGCUUAUCAAACAGCAUGAUGCCUCCCAUUAUGACUAGAGUUAAUGCCUCGCAGGACCAGGAUGGGUGUCUGUACUCAUGCUUCUGGACCGCUGGGACACAGCAUGUGGUAUACCACUCAGGCACUUACCUGACUCCAAGUCAGAGAAUGUAAGGACAUAAAGUAGUGUUUUUCAGUCUUUAGGAGCAUAAGAAUUACUUGGACAACUUACUUAGAGAGCUCUUAGUUCCACCACAAAAAAAGAGUAAUUCAAUUGGUUUGCUGUGAGGUGAGGCCCUGAAGUAUGUCUUUUUAACAUGUCCUUCAGGUGUUUUUGGUGUAGCUGAUCCUAGACCAAGCUCUGAGUCACCCUGGCAUCAUGACCCCAUCUCAACCUUGAUCAUAGAUCACCUGCAGCCCCCUUGCAUUAUUCCCUAGGAGUUACCCUCCUCAAUGCUAGUGGCUUUGCUAUGGGAAACAUAGCUGUCUCCACCCCUUCACUUCAUCUUUCUGAAGACAGAAGAAAAGAAUAGAGAAGGCAGGGUCAAUUGAGAAAACUUGAGUAGCUAUAGCAAAUUGUCAAUUAUUUUUGCCUUAGUCCAAAAGUGAGCUGACUUGUAUGGAAAGCUUGAACUUUAGAACAAUAGUUUCCCCCCAUAACUGAGGAAUGGCUGGGUAUAGUGAAAUCUAUCUCUUGUUUUUUUAUGGAACUACUAUCUAAAGAAUUUAGAAGAAUAAGUACAACUGAAGUGCAAAGUGUUAAAUGCAUGCUUCGAUUUAGUCAAUGCAUUUGCACAUUGAAGUAAUUAGGAUGUAUUUAAAAGCAUUCUGCUUGCAAUACUUUGUUCUCCAUUUCCUACAAAUUAAAUUAGUGAGGGGUAGAUUUGAUUUUUACAUCAUUUUGAAAAUAUUUUCUUUUUCUUUUUGUAAUUUCCUUAGUAUUACAUUUUUACAAAGUUCAGAACAUAACCGUGACUAAAUUCAUAAAAAUAAAACAAAAAGCCCAAAGUGCAAGAAAAUGAAAAACAGCACAAAAUAAUAUGCAGAAGAACAACAUAAAUUAUACCUUAAAAAUAUAGUUGUAGUAAUAUACCUUAUCCAUGUCUGAUCAAUUAAUAAUAAAUACUCAGAUAGCAAAUAACUCAUUCUAUUGCUUUGAUUGAGAUCCCCAAAUUUAAUUAUUCAUCUUAAUGCAAAUAAAUAGGGACAGCAGGUCUACUUAGAAAAAUCUUAACAAUCUCCUGUUUUCAUUGUACUAUAUAUAAUGCAAUGAAUGAAUAUAAAUAAAGAGUAUAAAGGGUACUUUGCUUCCUUACCUAUAAAGUAUUCAAGCAAGAUUAUUUUUUAAAGUAAAGUUAGAUUUGCAGAACCAAGAAAUGGUUAUGGAGCUAUGUAGCAUAAACAAAGACAGACUGGAGUUUAAAGACCAACUCUGCACACUGCCUGAAUAAUCUUCAACAAGUUACUUCACCUCCCUGGGUCUCAGUUUUUGUAUCUGUAAAGUGGAGGUAAUAGUAUCUAUAGUGCAGAUUGUUGUACUAAUAUCCAUUUGAAGUGCCUGACUUUUAAUAUAUUCUCAAUUAGUGACAGUUAUUAUUAUUAAUUCAAGAAAUAAUAUAAAAGUGUCCCAAAAUGAAAAAAAAAAAAACCUAACCAGAAAUAUUCUGUGAUCUCACUUUCCCAGGGGCUAAUAACAUGAUUCACAGAUUUUAUCCUUAAAAUGUUUCCUAUAUUGCAAAUUAAUGGCCUCAAAAUACAUGUUGAGAAAUCCCCUUUAUAUUAUUGGAGUUCACAGUUGAAUGAAUAAAUUUUGCCAAAACAAAUUAUUAUCAUAUUCUUUUGAAGAAAAACAGUACUUUGGAUUGAGCUCAGAUAAAUCUAUUUCUUCCUAUUCUUUCUGUACUAUUAUAACUGUACAAGUAUACAUACUUACGCAUAGAAGUGAAGGAGAAAGAAUCAAGAAUAACAGAAUUAAAUAUGCUUUUUAGGAUACAGAGAUGGUGCCCCCUGUUCAGCCCUGUGAUUCAUAUAUAGAAAAUGUUUAUUACAUGUUUGUUAAAUAAAUGGGGAGAAAAUUGCUAAGAAAAUAUCUGAAUAGCAUAAAGGAACUAGCUCAAAAAAUAGUAUAUACAAGUCAUCAGAGAGAGCUAAAAACUUACCUGUGGGUAUCAACAACUCUUUAAUUAGGUUGGUUUAUUGUGAAAUUACAGCCAUCUUUGUCCAGGACCACCAGUUCUUAGCUGAGGAGAUAACUAGGAGAGCUUACUGACCUUUAGUCAGAGAAAUGAGAUAUAUCAGAAAUGGAAGGAACUGUGAAGAUUUUCUAAUCCAAGGGGCAUAUUUUUCAGCUGAAGAAAUUGAAUGAUACUAAUACGCUUGGUGCCUAAGUUUGUUGGUUCUUGAACUUGAGUUUCCUAAUUUUGGUCUUGUUCAUUUUAUAGGGCGCCGGGUUGUCUUUGUGUUCCCUGACUGCCUGUUCUCCUUAUAUGCAUAGCAGCUUCUCUUCCUAUGUCCAGAACAGUACAGCAGAGUAUCUUGCUGUGCCUCUGAUUAGAUUCAUCUCCUCUAGUAUGUCAUUUUUCCAUAGCUCUUAAAAGGCCACAGUAGAUUUUUUAAAAUAUAUUCCAAGUGGACAUUAAUAAAAAAAAUAAAAAGCACUGUUCUUCUAUGAAAAAAUAAAUCAAAAUUUCAUGACAAAAUAAUUACAGAAUAACAAUAGUUAAUACAUUGUGUAUUAUAAUCUUUAAAAAAAAUGGCCAAAAUGUUACUCAGAGUUCAAGUCAUAGACAAAAAAGACUCUUAUAAAGAAGAAACAAACAAAUAAGAGCACAAAACUUUCUCUUUAAUGAAAUGAAUUAGCAUACAUAUUAAAAUAUUUUCAAAGCUACAGAAUAGAUCAUUUGGGAAUUAUUUGGACUUUUCCCUACUUUCUAUUUAUCUAUCUUCUAUUUUGAUAUAUUUUAUAUAUUUUUAAUUUUUUUAAAAAAAGAGAACCCAUGUGAUAUUUAAGCUUGUCUGUCUGGCUUAUUUCACUUACCUUUAUUCUCAUUAGUCACAUCCAUUUGCCUACGAAUGCCUCAAGUGUAUCUUUCUUUAUGGUAGACUUAGUAUUCCACUGUGUAUGCAUACCAAACUUUCUUUAUCCAUUCAUCUGUUGGCAGACAUGAAAAAUGCAAAUUAAAACUACGUUGACAUAUCUUCUUACCCCAGAAAGAAUGGCUAUCAUCAAAAAAAUCAAAUAAUAACAAAUGCUGGUGAGGAUGUGGGGAAAAAGGAACCCUUCUACAUUGUUGGUGGAAAUGUAAACUAGUGUUAACCACUGUGGAAAUCAGUAUAGAGAUUCCUCAAUAAAAUAAAAAUAAAAAUUCCAUUUGACCCAGCUACGUCAUCAUAUUACGUACAAGGAUACUUGCAUACCCAUGUUUAUAGCAGCACAAUUUAUAAUACCUAGGUCUUGGACAAAACAGAUUUUUAUCUGAUCUUUAAAUUCAUUUUUUAUUAAGAAAUAAAUUAAUAUAUUAAGUUUUUAACCAUUAAUAACUCAUAUAGAUAACCUUAGCUGUUUUUCAGGUGAUUAUUAGCUGGCACUAGAUAGGAUGGAGAACAAAGAAUUGUUAUAAUUUCAUUGGAGAAAAAGUGACAGGAGAGUUCUGUCCUCAAGGUACUACUGAGGGGAAGGCAAGGUCGGGCAGGCUGUGGCAGGAGGGUCUAGAGAACCCAGGAAGUCACCUAAGGAUUUGAAUCUUAGAAAAUAUUUUAAAAUGUAAGAAAUAAAAGAAGGGGUAGGUAAAAAAAACUUUGUAGAAGAGUACUGCAAGAAGAUUUGAUGAUUCGUUCUUGUGGUACAUCAUUUACUGUCUUUGUAACUUCCUUGCUCAGUGUAGAAGCCUUGUGUUCACAUUGUUUGUGUCCUGUUGCAACUUACUUGUACAUAGCUGCUGUAAAGUAAUGAUUAGAAUACCUGGAAUCAGGGAUUAAUGGCAUCUAUAAGGGAAGAAAUAUAGCUGUGUGGUAGGUAAAUAUCAUCUUUAUCCACAUAAAGAAUGAAAUGUGGCUAGCUGUUAAUAGUGAGUUAAACUGGCAUACCAAGAAUUUUUAUAAAUGGUUUUCCCAUGCUCCAUUGAAUCUGUGGCUUAGACUUUGGUUGUAUACCAGCUGUGCAUGCAAAAUCUCAUAAUUAUUCUUACUGUAUUAAGCAUUUUAUAGCAAUUUUAGCUCUAAAAUGCUAUGCAAUAGUUUUUAUGCAAGUAUACCAGACAUGUAAGCUGUUCCAAUGAAAACAUUUCCUUUCUUUUAGACACAUGGUUUUACGUUUCCAAACUUAGCUGUUUCCAUUGAUGGAAGAAUCUUUAGGACAGAAAUCUGGUUUUCUUUUUUUCUUUUUGUUUGGGGUGGAGUGGGGGGGGUGACAGUUGAAUUGUCUCUCAGUACUUUAUUCCUUUAUACAGCCUCAUCAGAAAAGGGACAUUUUACUAAUUGUAUAAUACUGAUAUUAACAAGUGUUGCUGCUGAGCACUAGUUCCUCCACCUGUCAUAUUCAGAAAGGUGCCAGUGAGGAAGCUAGACUGAUCUCUGAAUCCUUCCAGGGUACUGUGGUAAACAAGCAGAAGGACAUGGACUUAACCUCUUUGGAGAAGGCUGACACCUUCAACACUGCUGCACAUGCAGCUGCGCCCUGCAGUGGCAAGUCUUGGGUCUGAGCCCAAAACUGGUGUGGAGUUUGAACCCUUGGCAUUCUGGCCUAGGGCCAAGUGCUAUCAAUGGAACCCCACUGACACCUUUAGUUAUUCUUCCUAGAUUAGGAUAGUAAUUUACUUGUCUCUUUGAUUUCAAGUGUCUGGUUUUGUUUCCAGAUGCCUCCCAGUUCAUCUGUAUUCCAGGGGUUUCAAAAGACUUUAACCUCAUUGGUUCUUUCUUUUGUUAGUUCCAUUUGGUGAACACAGGAGGGAUAUAGAGAGACUAGAGAGGCAAGGGAGGGCGUGUGUGUGUGUGUGUGUGUGUGUGUGUGUGUGUGUGUGUGUGUGUAAUGUAGGAGGAUGGGGGGGGGCUUGGGGAAACUGCAGGAAUAAAUGAAAGGCAUAUUCACUUUCAAAAUAUCAGCUAUUAUACCAGAGCAAGUCAGAAUGGAGUUUAAGAGGUGAUAUGCAGGACAAUGUAAUGAAAAAUGUUAUUAGAUAGGUGCAUGUGUAAAAGCCCUCCAACCAGCAGUAAUCUCAAUCUCUCCCAAACGAUUACAAUAUAUGAAAGAGAUGGAGAGACCAUAGAAAUUUUAUCCCAAUGCCAAUAAGGUAACAGCACUUGGAUUUUAACAUGUGAUAGUAGGAAAAGGCAUUUAUGCAUGGGUGUCAUUUUAUGUUUACAAGGGCCUGUCUAGCACUGUUUAUUGAUUUUACUGCAAUUUUUCCCCAGGACCGUGUAGAUAGAUAAUUGCUAGAAAUGUCCAUCAUUAACACAGCAACAAAUGCAACCAUUGCACUAAGAAAAAGAUACACAUAGGACCCUGUUAGCAAGCCUCAAAUGGGGAGGAGGAGAGUCACACAAUAACACGUGCAGCUAUAACUCCAGGCAAACACACACGCACAACACCCUGUGUAGCCAUUGCACUGAGAAAAUACACACAGCCCCCUGUACAGCCAUCACACAUCAGGAAAAUAACACACAUGACACCCCUGCGCAACCAUCACACCAGGCAAAAGCACAGACAUAAAAUGCUAAGUCAAUAGGAAUGAACAGCUCAUAAAAGCCUACUGGAAUAGAUCACAUCACAGCCAGGUACAUCUGUUCUCAGCAUUAACCAUUAUCGUUAGCUUAAAAUGCUUAAAAUCACUGCACAUCCUCAGGUCUAGGGACAGAUUAUUCCAAGAAGAUUCAGCUAAAUAGACUUGGCAAUUCAGUGAAGGGGACCUCUACUACAUUAAAGUGAUGCAUUUUGCAUCUCAAAGGCUGUCAACUGUAUUUAGGGGAACCGUGUGAUUGAAGAACAAUGCUCCACUAUAGGAUAGCAAUUUUUUUUGGUCCUUCUAAACCUGGAGGUGAUUUUUUACCCCAACUUGUGUUAAGCAUACCAUUGAAUGGGUAGCUCUCAAAUUGGGAGGUGACUAAUAAAAGCAGAAUUGGAAAUAGCUUUCAACUUGUGCUGCAAAGGAAGCCAUGACAUUCUUAUUUAAACUGGAACUCUCAGAUGGUGUAUCAUAUCUAAAGAUUUUAGUGAGGUCAGACUUCAAGCCAUCAAUUUGAGAUAAAUAAGUACCAACUACAGUCCUUGCUUCAGAGGGUUGUCUGCCCCUCUGGGGGGAAUAAAGGAACCACCCACCUCUUCAUUCACCAGUGCCUUCUCUUUAUCCUCUUGCCUUGGUCUGUGAUGUUAUCCGAACUGUGUGACACAGAAGUUACCACAUGGCAAGGGAAACUCGGCAUGCUUUUCUGAAGAGUGGCCCAAAAGAACAGGUCAGAAAGAGUUUCAAGCUUGCAGUUCUAUCUUUCAAUUAGGGUGGCGUUUUGUGUUUCUUCUGAGUGAGAGAAGUUUCAAGCUAGCUUGUUAAGAAUGAUUUACACCAUAAUUCUAGGAAAAACAAAUGUGAGUGACUGAAAUUUGAAAGGAAAGAGUAGGGGGAAAGUGCUAGACCAAACAAAUCUUAAGUAAAUUGGGUGGUUUUUUGGGUGGUGGUGGUGGGUUUUUCAUUUGUUUCUUCACUUUUUUUGACAAAAGUGAAAAUAUAUGUAUUAUUGGUAAUUCUCUCACCUGGAUGGAAUGAAGAAACAGAAAACAGUUGCUCCAUUUGCUCCAUGUAAAAGCAAAUUUUCAGGAGAGGACAGGUGUUUCCCUUAAAUUCUCAUGAUAACAUCUUGCUGAGAAUGAGCAAAACUGGAAAUGAGAACUAAGAAUUCUACUUAGAUAUAUAUUUUUACCAAAUGUGGCAGAAAAGGUUUUGUUAGGGUAAGAGAUAAGCAUUUUCCAUAAGACAAUACACUAGUGACAUGAGGUAAUUACAUGGUGACUGAGACACACUGCAUGGUAUACUGGAGAAUUUCAUGAUACCUACGUGAUAACUAUAGUAACUCUAGUUAUCACUACCAUAUUAUCUCCUGAUAACUAUAUAAUUAGUUUGUGUCAUCAAAGCACCCUAAACGUAUGCCUGUUCCAGCUACUCUGGUAGAAAAAAUUAACUUUUUUUGCAAAGGGGAAAAAAAGCUAAUGAAGAAAGUUGCCAAGAACAGAUAUUUUGUAAUCUGUGCUAAAUCUCUGCUGGAAAACAUGAACAGUAAUGAAGCUGAGAAGACAGUAAAAGAAAUUCGGGGCAAGGUGCCAGACGCCCAGACGGAAGGAGAAUGUGGACCAAAAGAUUGCGACAAUCGGGUAAUUAUGGUUUAUGAAUUUCAGCUUUAAUCUGUAGUUCAGUGAGUCCUGAUUAAAUAUCUGUUAAACACAAUUAAAGUUUGUUUUUGUAUUUCACCGUCUUGAUCAGAAUAAUUAGAGACUGCGUGUUUCAUGUCAAAAGUAGCAAGAGGAAUUUUAGUGAAUGAACAUCGUUUUUAAAAGCCAUUUGUAGCACCAGCUGUUGGCAUUAUUUUAUAUUUUAGUGUUAUCAGCAUAAAGAUGGUCCUCUGGAUGCUGAAUAGUUUCCAGCAGGACAAGGAUGUUGUGCAGAUCAAAUGGGCCUGUGCUGAUGAGGCAUACGCGUUUAGGGGCUGGAAACUGCUGUGAACAGUGGGCAGGGGAGAUAUAGGUCAGAGAAGAAGAUACUUUAGGUGUAAGAAGAAGAAUGCUAUUUGAGUUGAGUUUACCCAACCAAGGAGCUAAGGGAGGGAAUUUCUUAUGGUAUAGUCAUUCGUGAUAGCAACUGCAGGUGCUGUAUGGCUUACUUGAGACAGGUUGUGUACAGUACCCGAAGGAAAGGCUAAAAUUGAUGUGGUGAGAAAGUAAGGCUCUGUCCUGGUCGGUCCUUGGCUAAAAUUUUGUGGCAUCUACUCCUAGAGUUGGUAGAAGGAAGUGCUGAAAGUAUAUACCAUAUUAAUAAUUCUAUGUCUGAAUUCUGCACAAAGGACAUGUUGAAAUAUAAAUAGAAUUAAAUAAACCAGGAUAAAGGGGAUAAAAUAAGGCUCUACAAACUAAAACCAAAACUAUGAUUUCCAUGAACUUGUGCCAAAAUAGAGACUGGGGAGUUGUAAAUUAUUCUCUAAAUUGUAUGAAGGUAUAUGUAAAAAUCUCUAUGCAGUUUACCAUGGUAUUAGAUUUAAAGAAGUAAUAAUAUACUAUCUCGCUUGCUAUUUGAAAUUUGGAUACCUGGAAUAUUUUAGUCCCUGUGACAAUAUAGACUAAUGGUUCCCAACAAAGUCCACGUCCUAAUUCUCAGACUCUGUUACUUUAGAUGGCAAAGGGACUUUGCAGAUGUUGUUCAAGUUGAGGAUUUUUGAGAUUUGAAGGUUAUCUCAGAAUAUCUGGGCAGGCCUAAUAUAAUUAAAAGAGUCCUUCUCAAUGAAAGUGGGAGACAGAGGAGUCAGAGUCAGAGAAGAAUAUGAAAGAGACAGAGAUUCAAGGGUGCUGCAUUUCUAUUUGAAGGUUGAGAAAGAAGCUAUGAAUACAGGUGGCUUCCAGAAACUGGGAAAGUCAGAGAAAGUGAUUGUCCCCUGUCUCCCUGAGAAAAAAUGCAUCCUAGCUGGCAUCUUAAUUGCAGACUUCUCACCUCCAAAACUUGAAUUAAUUUGUGCUUUUUAAGACAUAAAGUUUGUGAAAAUUUGUUAUAGCGUCAGACUUCUUCACAGACUUCUUCACAGACUUAAUAUCUGUUUAAAAGUUGCCUAGAUAAAAGUGCAUCCAGGUACGAGAGAAAUUACAAAUCUCUGUGAAUUUAACUUUAUAAAGCCCAUUUCCCAGGCUGUCUUUGUAGCACCACUUAGAGUUACCUGGUGUAGUAAAAAUUAAAGUCUGUCCAUUUUACAGUAAAAUCAAGGGCAACUUCAGCUCCGUCUUUCUAGCAGCACAGUUCACAUAAGUAGAAGUGUCUGCAGCAAGGGAGGAUUGUAGAGUGUAAAUAAUUUUUCUGACAACUGUAGCAGCACUUAUCAUAGGUUGAACCACUGACUUUGCUUAUAUUUGAUCAUUUUUGAUUUACAGAAAUGACAGUUUCAUAUGGCUCAGUAUUCCAAUAUAAUCUCAUUUAAACCUUAGAUCCUUCGUGGGUAUUCUAGGAUAAUAUUAAUUUUUUCUUAAUAUUAGUAAAUGUUAUGAGUCAUGAGGAAGUUAAGCUAAUAAAAUGCUUUGUUUUCCACAUGUUCAGUUAAAAAUAAAAUUAAAUCUCAAGUAGCUGAAGAUAUGUUAGCAGAGUGGAGGAUGCAGGUAUAUAUUUUGUAUGCUAUUCCAAAAGGGGACAGUAUGAAAGUCAUCAGAUGGAGGGAGGAGGAAGGAGAGAAGAGGAAGGGGAUGUGAAAAGAAUUAAGAUGUGUUAUGUACAUGUAUCAACUCCCUACAAUUAGUGGAAUUAUUAUGUACUGCAAACAUGUACCAAUAAAAAUUUCAAAAGAAAAUUAUAGGGGAAAAUGACCAUAACCAUAUGUAAACACUGUAUAUGAUGAAAAUUUGCUACCUAGCAUCUUCAUGUUCAAAAGUGCAUAUAAUACUACAGAAGAAGAUAGCUUAGUCAGGAUGCAUAUCCUGGUUUUAUCAUUUACUAGCAAGUUAAAUAACCUCCUUGUACCUCAUUUUCUUUCAUCUGUAACAGCAAUAUAAUAAUAUCUAAUUUGUGGGCACAUUUGCUAAGACGGUUAAAUGAGAUAAUAAAAAAUACAAAGCACUUAGAAAGGGACCUGCCAGGUAGUGAGCACUCAAUAAAUGUUAGCUGCUGAUGCUGUUAGCUUAAUGAUCCUCCUCAUCUACUGGAAAGCAGCAGACUCCUUGGAGGCUUUACAAAGAAAAAUAGGCCUUGUUUAUUGUUAAUUAUUAAAUUUAGGGAAACUCCUCUUUUUACUUACCAUACCAAUAUGGUAUUUCUAGUGGUAAAACCCACUCUUAACUCCUCUGGUAGUGUGUGGGAAAAGUAUCAGUUAUCUUAGUCCCUGCUUAGAGGACUCGUAUAUUCAAAUUACAUUCUCAUAGAAAAGGAAAACAAAUUUUAAAACAGGACACAAAAACUACGUUAAAGCUGAUAAGUAUAAAACUUGACCUGCAAAUUAGAGUUAUGUAUGUUCUUUCAUACUGUCUAUCUUGUGCCUGAUAAUCACUUCUUCUCUCUUCUCUAAUCUUCAAAGGCUAAAAUAACAUACCUGAAAUUAAAAGAAUACUGUGAAUAUAAGUAAGCAUAGUGGUCUUUCCUUGGAUCAAGAAUACUGUUAGAAAGACAGCCUUUGUCUUCUCUUCCUUCAAUUCUUCAUUGGACCACACAACCCCUCCUCCAUCCCCCACACCCAACUCCAAGGAAGGCUAGGCAUAUCUCAGAGUUGGUGUAGGAGAUAAGAACAAGGCUACUCAGAUGGUGCUGCGAUUUACAUAGGCAUUCCUUGUCCAAAAAAACAGUUUAAACCAGGAACCUUCCAAUCUACCCAAGGAAAAUUAAGAGAAUUGGUUACAAUGGUAUUGUUUAAAAGAUUCCCAAUCUCUUUUGACUUAAAUUUCCAUUGAUCAUCUGAUGAAAAUGGUGGGCCCUCAUCCCAGAAGAAUGCAAUUUCUUUUCAAAGGAUUUACAUAUGCCCCUCAAGCCUAUAAAUGGGCCUCCUGUUAUUAUCCAUGUUUUACAGCUGUGACCUAAGGAAAACUGAGCUUGUCUGAAUGGGCUGACAAAAUUUGAGACCAGAAUUGUGCAAUACUUAUUUACCACAUGAUUUUUGACCAGCCACUAAUGUAUACUGAAGUUCUGUCUUUUAAUUACUAAAAGUAGUACAUUUGAUACUAAUGUGCUAAGAAAAUAACUAUUUCCUUCUAAAGCAUUUUGAGGUAUGUUUAAAGAACUACCAAAAUAAGGUUGCUGUAUAGAGGAGCAAAAGGGAAGUAAACCCAACUAACUUUUUUAGAAGUCUAAAGCUGAAGAUAUAAAGUAUCUCAUAGCAUUGUAAGAUAUUGUCUCAUUGCCUUUGAGAAGUCUCAUAUUGAGCAGCCCAGGGAGCAGAAACUGAUUUGCGAAGUGUAGCACCUCCUUUAUCUUUGCUCAUCUACAGGUUUGUAUUUUGGCUAAAACUGUUUAUCUUGAAAGGAAGAGGAAAAGGAAAUGUGAACACAGUCUGAUGAUAUUUGCAAAUAAAGAAGUGUUAUUUGGAGGGUUGUAGGAGGACUGCUAAAGUAACUGAGUCAUCAGCAACCAGAAACUUCAAUAGGUAAAGAAAUCGUUGAGAAUAUGAACCCAUUUUACUAAGGUCCAUCACAUGUUGACCUCCUCUGUUUCCAUAAGACUGUCUAAAAUCAUAUGUUAUCUAUUUUUUUCUGUGAUUUUUAAAUACUGAUUUUAAUGUCCUGCUUUUUUAACACCCUCUUCUCCUCAAAAUAGUUCACCAAGAAGAUUGCCUAGACUGAAUGGAGGGAAUAAACAUCAGAAAAGGAAGAAAUUCUAUUGUGUUUGUUGAGAAAGAAAGCAACCUCAAAAAAGUGGUGGAGAGGGGGUUAGAGAGAAAAAAGAAAGAAAAAAAGGAGAGAAGGAAACAGGGGAAAAGUAAGAAAAGAUGCUUGAGCUCAAUAGUUGGGUAUCUUGACUUGUAGAAAAGACAAAACUUAGAGCCUUCAAGUAGCAAAACUUAGAGCCUUCAAGUCUUUGAAUACUAGUUUUUAUUUUGUGUUUCAAAUUUGAACAAACUUUCAAUAAAUCAUAUACAUAAUCUGAUUAUCUUGCUUAAACUUUCAUUAAACUCAUCAAUUUUGUGAAACAAUUUGAAAGCAUGGGAGACCCCCAAACUCUCUUACGUUAGCAUGUAUCAUGAUCCAGGCUGCAGAUUUUCUUAACUCUUCUCAUCCCGGUAGGGGACCACCACCCUUCUCACCUGAAUGUACUUGGGCAGGUUUCACAUUGUCCAUGCACAGGAAGCCAGUUCUUUGGAAAUUUCUACAGUGAUGACGUUGUCCAGAAAACUUGAUGGAAAUGAAGUCUCUAUAACUGCUAGUUUUCUGCUUCAGCCUUUUUCAGUACAAAGUUAUUUUAUCAGGUCUUUCUACUUGACCACCUUUAAUGAAGUUUAUUUUGCAUAUUUUUGGAUGCAUUCUGUGAGUGGUUAAAAAUCAUCGUAUCAGAGAGACAAGAAUUCAAUCAGUAUGUGUGAAGUCCUUGAUAUGUUAUAGUGGGGACUUAACUAGGAUAACUUGAUUUAUUUUUCUCACUCCGAUUAUUUGGCUCAUUAAUUUCUUACAAAUUUUUUGUUACCCUGUUUGUUUCCUUCUAUAAGAAAAUCCAUCAAAAUAACGGUGGACAGACCAGUCCUAUGAUAAGUUGUUUGGCAUAUGAUUUAAAGAUUCUAAAGGAGAAUUUUUAGAUUUUAAAUAUAGAAUGGGGAAAUGUUAAUCUCCACUCCUACUAUGCCUAUAAUUUUUAUCAUUAGAGAUGAGAUUGCAGGCACAAACACUGCAGUUUAAAAUCACUUUGUCAUAUUACUUCCUACUAGGCUGGUGAGAUGGGUGGAGGAGGCAGGAUCAGAGUGGGAAGCCAGGACACUGAGGCCAACUUGGCCAAGUUCUCAGUGUUACUGAAGGUCAGCAACCCAUGGACGUGCCAAGCUGUCUGGAGGAUCUGUGAGGAAUUUAUGCUACUGAAUUUACCAUUAAAGAACCAAAUUUUUAUUAGGAUUUAACUUGUCUUUGCCAAAAUUGGCUAAAGUUGAUGAGGUCCUAUGUGUAAGCACAGCUUUUACCUAUUUUAGUUAGUGCUCCCCAUUAGAACUUUUUGCAGUGACAAAUGUUCUGUUUCUGUGCUGUCCAGUAAGGCAGCCACUGACCACAUGUGGCUGUUGAGCCCUUGGAAUGUGAUUAGUGUGACUAAAUUUAACUAAAUGUUUAGGUUUUUCCAUUAAAUUUUCAAGAAUUUAAAUUUUUAAAAAGUAAUGGACUGGUGGUUGUUGUGUUGGACAUUAUGGUUCUAGAACAGAUACGUUCUGACACAGAUCAGAAUCAAAUUGACUAUGAAAGAUCUUGGCAUUCCUUGUGCUGGGAAGUACUGUGUCAGUUGUCAUAGCAAGGGUCACAGCUUUGGAAAUUUUAUGUGAGGCUGAAUCUCUUUUAUUUUGAGCUACAAGUGACAAAAUGGUCUCCAUUGAGAAAAAAGAGUUCCACUGACACUUAGACUUGUUUUUCUUUUCCCCACUGUAUCAUUUAGUUUUGUGUUUAAUUCCUUGGUUUUUUUCUUUGUUUUUCAGUUCCUUGACCAUCAGUUUGUCACCUGCCCCUUCUCUUUAUGUAAGUAAAAGUGGUUUAUUUACCUUUUAAAAAGUUAUGUCAGAUUUGGGGAAUUUUGGUCUUUAUUGACAUCUUUGCUAGCUGACUUGGCCUCUAGCAUUUGUUUGGUGUGUGUUAGCUUCUUUCGUGUUUGGAGUUGAGGCUGUUGGUAGUAGUGGUAUGUUACCAUCCAGGUGGGAGCUGAAAAGACCAGCAGCCCAAGCUCCUGUUCCUAUAUAGACUGCCCUGUACUUGGCCAUGUUGCUAAUUUCAAAGGUCACUGCUCUUCUAAACUGCGGCUUACGUUUUUCUAUCAGUUAUCAGCCAUGAGUUGGGCUAUCAGUGAGUGCACAAUUAUUUAUUCUGCAGUUACUCACCUAUCUAUAGAUCCAACAGUUUUUAAUUUUAACUCCUAGAUCAGAGAUGUCUUUUUACUAAGGAGUAUAAGACAGAAAAUUGAAUAGACUAAAUUUUUGUGCAAAAUUUUUAAAGUUGGGGGAGAUUAAAAGAAAUCUAGGAUUCAUAUGUGCCAAUAGGCAUAUAAAAGAUACCAUUGUAUUUUAGAAAAAAAUGAGAAGUUAUUUGGGAAAAAAACAUUUGAUUUUAAGUGAAAAAAUUUUUUAUUGUUGUUAUUAUUAAUAGAACCAAACCAGGCUAAACUGCUAGGGUUUGGGUUUGAAUAUAUAUUACUCUGAGUUUCUUGAAAGAGGUUCUGGGGCAGCAAAACCAAAAGAUCAAAGUCAGUACAAGAGACACUGCCCAAGAAAUCCUACAGUGAGUGACAGUCACCUGAUGUGAUAAAUAAUCAUCAGCAUCCUUCUGGCUGCAUCUCACCCUCUGAUGCAUAUUGUCCAUUAAAAAUUAUGUCUUAUUUCACUGACUCUUUACUCCAAAGUAUUUCAUGUGUUGUAAUCAUCUGUACAAAGAGGAGGUUAGCAUGGCUUUUUUCCUUAUGUGUAGCUUCCACUAAUAUUCUUAGGAGCUAAUAGCAAAUAUAUUUAGGGGACCUGAGUCCUCCAAAGGAUUUUAAGGCUAAAGUCUAGUUUGACAUUUUAUUUGACAGAGAAAGGCUGGUGCUAUAUGUAAUGCAUUCAUACAGCAGGGGUGGGUCCUACCUUCCCCUGACACGUCUUGUUAUUCCCUGUUCUUGAUGUUGAUAGAGUAGGUCUGUUAAGGCUUUGGAAGAUGUCAGUGUGCAUACUUAUUGUUACCACUUUAUUUAUUUACAUCCUUCUCCUCAGUUACCCAGCACUGCAUAUUUCUAGUCUUCUGACUGGCAAAUCAUUUUUUGUUACAGUUCUUUUGUGUAAAACCAGUUCACAUAAUAGCUCUGUGUUAGACAAGGCAUUAAUCCUCACAUCACCAGAAUGAGUCAGCACCAUGCACUCCUGCCUGCACAGCUCAGCUAUUAUGACGUCAGUGCUUGAGGGCAAGCUUCAGACACAAGCAGUAUGAGAGACCUGUGUCACCUAUUAAAAAUCGAGGAGGAGAACUUUGAGAUAAAAGAUAUAAUUGAAAGGCUGUGUCUGGCUCAUAGAAAAAUGUAAAAUUGAUUCUGUGCUGCAUCAACCAUCAGUCAAGCAGCUUCUUGAGAGAUGGAAUUUUUUUAACCAGAUAUAAGAGGAGGGCAAAGACCUAUGGUAACUUGAUAAUCCGUUCAUAUACUCAUGACCUUGUCCCACCCUGGGACAUAGUUCAUGCUUGCUUGAAUUUUUCCAAAUUCUGAGGUUGCUUUUAUGCCAGCAAGGUGACGGUCCUGCUGUCCUCAAAUGCCCUGUGGUUGUGGCUGAUGGCUUCAGGGAUUGAGCCUCAGAGGCCCAUCAGAAAAAAAGGAACCAUUUCUUGCAAACAGAUCAGAACAUUAUCUCACCAGUGCUUCUCACUCCAAGUGCCUCUUCAGUGGCCUUCUCUGGAUAGGUGCAGAAUUCAGCAGUUUUGACCUCCCUUAGGCACUACAUUUAGUCCAAUGUCCCAAUCUGCAUUUGACCCCAAUUUCAAUAGUAACUGAAUAGCUGCCAGAUUUUUCCCAAGAGUUUUCCUUUCAAUUAGUCUUUUACAGAAACAAACAAACAAAUAAAAAGGAAUCCACCAUAACCUACCGUGCUGUUUUGAAGCAGGUAGCAGAGAGUCAUCCUAUGUGGGAAACCCUGUUCUUAUAAGUUAGGCCUCUCCACAGUUCAGACUGAGACACAUCCUUUAGACAGUGCCUUUCAGUAUUGAAAACCACAUUGUAAAUGGUGAUAAUUUACUGCCUUAGUGAUAUUCUCUGCUUUAAAAAAAGACAUUCCGGGCUAGGGAUUUAGCUCAGUGGUUCUGCCACAUUCCCCACAAGCACAAGGACCUGAGUUCAAUCCCCGGUACCAAAAAAAAAAAAAAAAAAGACAUUCCUCCAUCGCAGCAUCCAUGUCCCUGCCUUACUCUUACCCCAGCCAAUUAAUCACCAGCCUCUUUGAUAAUCAUCAGAAAAUGCCUUACUGCUGGGCUCUUCCACCUUCAUUAGAUUGAUAAUAGUCUCCUACCAUGCUUAUAAAAGCUAAUACUACUGUUUGGCUUAGUUUUGAUUCAUUAUGCAUAGAUCUUUAUUUUGUUUUCAGUUAACCAAUGUUUAUGGAAAACUUGUUACUAUACUAUGUUCUGGGAACUCCAAAAUAAAUAAGACAUGAUCCUUUUUAAAAAAUGUUACAGUAUAAUAGGGGAGAAAAAUAAGUGAAUAAAGACUAUCUUAUGUGAUAGGUGUAGGAGUGUAGGUACACCCAAGAUGUAUGAAGAAGAAUGAGAAAGGAGUGCCCGUCUGCAUGUGGGGAGGUGUCCAAGAUGAUUCUUAAAGUCAAAACAAUGAAUAUCAGUAUACCAGCUGGAUAGAGGAGAGGUAAAAGGAAGAGGAUUCAUAAUCAAGUAAAACAUGAGAACAUUUAUAAAGUCAAGAGGCAUCAAGUUAUAGCCAGGUCCAUAGGACUGAUUGGUUUUGUGUUGCUGGAGCUCAGUAAGUUGAUUAAAAGAGUAGCAUAAGAGAUGGAGGUGGGAAAGCAGGCAGGGGGAAGAUCACAAAAGGCCCUUGUAUACCAUGCAAAGGAGUCCGGACUUCCUUCUUCAGGCUCAAAGAGAUUUUAAAGAAUUUAAAGAAAAUUUACGUUUUGGAAAGAGCACUCUAUUGUUGAGAUGGCUGACUGAGAAUAGGGAAACCAGGUCAAAGGUGAAAACCAAGGGCCCCAACUGUUCAGUUAGGUCUGGAGUAGAACAGAGAGGCUAUUUGGGAGUAUUGACAUAGGCAUUAACAUUUGCAGAAUUCCAGCAUAUCUUGGCCCACUGCAUAAACCUGCCUUCUAGGAGAAAGGUUAAUAUGUUGAAUGAGGCCAAAUUUCAGACCAAAAUACAUCCUUAUGGGAGCUUCACGGGAGAAUCUCUCUCACCUUACUCUGAGCUGCUGGUCUCCAGGAUUGUGCGUAUCCUGCCCAAAGUAGGCAUGAGGCAAGAGGAAAGGGAGCAGAUAAGAAGAAAAUGUUGCUUUUCUUUCACCUGAAAAUCAAACCAUUUCCUAAUAAUGUCUCCUUAAAGUCAGUUAAUGCCCCAAUUUCCUAUUGUUUUCCCAUUGCUGCUUUUUCCAAGCAGAAUUUUCAAGCCAUUGAACUGAAUUGCAACUUAUGCACAGCCCGGGUGUUGAAAUAGUAAAGUAUAUUCAUCCCUUCUCUCUGAAUGAGAGUUCACCAUAAGUGUGCUUUUCUCUUGUUCACUUUGGGCUUCCAGGACAGUUUAAAGGAAAUGUUCAACAGCUUAUGUCUCACGUACCCUGUUCGCGAGACAAACGGGAAGAUUUGCGUGGGUGUGUUUAAGUCUUCUCUAUAUUGCUUCCUAGAGAAAGGUUUGAGAAGAUGAACAAGAUGGGGAGUAGGGACCUACUGAAAGCCCAGGUCUCUCAGUGACCUGAGUGCAGAACAUAGGCUGGUGAUCAGAUGGUCAAUUAUGUGUUUGUCAAAACACAGUGGGCUGCAUUCCAGAUUGCCAGCUUUGGAGGCCCAGUUUCUGCCAACCAAAUGUCAUCUGGGAACAUGCAACACUGGGCACUGUGAAGGAGUUUGAAAUAGACCACGCCACAGCCAACCUACUGCCACUCUUAUAGCACCAAUAUGGCAUGCACAGCCGGGCCCCAUGUUUCAGAGCUCAGGAAUUCACUGUACUAAAUUCAGGAGGUCAGAUGGGUUCAUGUUUUCAAAGCCUAUGUUCUCUGCUUUGAACACUGUGACUUGCUGCUCAACAAUUUCCAGGGGAUUUUUCCAGUCCCCUGUCUGUGGAAACCACUCUUUUUGUGAUGGUUAUGAGAGCCUUGUAAAUGUCCUGGAGGAAAAGGAAAAAAAUAAACUUGCUCUGACAAUGACUGUGAUUCCUACAAGGGAUUCCAACUCUUAGGAAAUUACAUUAAAGGUGCAUAGCUUUUAAAAUAUCAGGAACCACCUUGGCAACUUAUGAAAAGCAGAAGGGCUUUGCCUAUUUUAUAAAGUGAUUUGCAUAUACCUGCAUAAAUAAUGUCCCCACCUGUACUUUUAUGCAUUUAGGUUGAAUAAAUUAAAUUCAGUGAUCUUUAAAAUAUUCACUGUCUUUCAUUGCUAAGACUCCAUUUUCAGGACCCUUCUCUCUUUUUUUUUUCUUGUAGUGGUAGUGGCUUAUUUUUUUUUCCCAGCUAAUUCAGAGAAUCAAAACACUGUGCAGACCAGUCUACCACAGCCAGGAGUAUCGUCUCCCGCUGCUUGAAUUUCCCUUAGUUUUCUAUCUAUCGAGCCAUGUCCCAUAUACUUUUCAAGCUAGAAAAUGGAGGAAUAUAUUACUAAGAUGAAAGCAUGGCACAAGAUAGGAUUAAGCUCUGCUACCUAUAUGUAUAUUCAGACUUUUCUUUCUUUGAGCACUGCCAUAGCCCCUUCAGAAACAAUCCAGCUACCUAUCCCAUAACAAUUUUAAGUCGGGCCUUCAAACCGAAGCCUGGCUCAGUAGGCCAGUCUCAGCCACAGUCAUUCCAUAAGAUAUUAUUAAGCACUUAUUAUGUACAAAGAAUCAUGUCUAGUGGAGAAUUAAAACAUAAAUACAGGAUAUUGACCUUAUUGUAAAUGAAUUUGAAAUUGAGUUAGAAAAGAAGUUAUACUGUGGAGUAUUUUGUAUGUUCAUAAGACGGUAAAUGUUGAAGUUGCACAAAGAAUGAUUUAGUCCAGGAGGAACUAUAAGAUUUCAUUCUUGAGAUCUUGAGAGCUAGAAAUUUACAUAUAAAUGUAAAAUGUGAUUCAAAUCGAUCUUUAAAAGUGGCUAGAAUGCAAAAAAGAUAUGGAGAAUGAUAUUUCAAACAAAAGCACUGGGAUCUUUGAGCAGGUCUAUAAGUAGCACUGUUCUUCUUCACCCAAAUUCUAAACCCACUGAAAAAUGAGACAAAAGAAUUGAUAGCUGGGGAAUCAAAAUUCUGUAAAUGUUGGUUGAAGAGUAUAGGAAAAUGGGCUCACUGACUCCCUUCCCUUCACCAUGAACUUUGAAAAACUUUCCUAAGGGAUAAUUUGGACCUUCAUAUAACCAAUACUUUUCCAGGUCAUAAUUCCCACUAGUCUAAGUAGUAAAGAAGGGAGAAUGAGGCUAAACUGUACUUACAAACUGAUAGAUCAAUUCUAUGUAAAUGAGAAAUAUGGACCACAGGCUGUUUUACCAACAAGAUGAUUUGUUUCUAUGGAGAAGUAUAAGGAAUGAGGCAAGAGGUAAACAGUGUUCAGAAAACUUGUUUGUGGAAACUCGGAAUAAGGAAGAUAUAGUCUUAACCAACAUGAAGAUCCACAAGCUGGAAAAUAGGAGCAAGUGAGAUGAACUAGAAGUGGGAUGAAAAUGCAGAACCAAGAGGCUAGAAAAUUUUUUCAUCUGUCUAAGGGGUACCCCUGGGACUAGAAUCAGCAGUCAUUGUGGUUAGCCAAGUGGUUAUACUGAGGACUGCUUUUGGGUGUCUCAAAGUUAUUAGCAACAGAACCUGGAGUAACAGGCAAACAUAAAUAAAUAAAUAAACCUAUUAGGAAAAGAAACACAAACACUUGUAUCUCUUAUUAAACUAAUAACAACAAUAGGACAUAAUGUGGACAUAACAUUUAUUGAAUACUUGCCUUGCUUUUGGUACUAGAUUAAAUACUUUUAAUGGCUAUCUGAUUUAAUUUAUAAAGCUAUAAUAUUAUGUAGAUGCUGUUAUAAUAGUUGUGCAGAUGAAGAAAUUGAGAUUUAGUAAUGUGAUUUUCUCCAGUAGUUCAGUGACCAACAUGAAAAGACAUAAGAAAUGUGUAUUUCAGUUCAAAUUAUGGUGGGGUUUCACCAGUGUUUGUAGACAGGAAUUGCAGUUUUAGUUUUUCUUUUUUGUUGUUUUUGUUUUUGUUUCCCAUCUUUGGUUCUAGCUGAGGCCAGUGUAGAAGGGCAGUGAAAAGGCUCAGCUAAAUUAUCCAAGCAUUUAUUGGGACCUACAUUGUGUGUGAUCCAGAAAAUACUUAGAUGAAUAAGGCACUAUCUCUGCCUUCAAAAAGCUCCCAAUCUAGGGUGGUCUGAAGGCUGCCAUCUGGCCCAAGAGACUAGGAGCAGUUGAUUAAUCUUUGCUAAAAGACAAGAGGACUCACAUCUCCCUUUUCUUUUUCUUUCUUUUUUUUUUUUGCUGGCUCCUUCCCUUCCUCUACUCUCCCUACCCUUUCCAUUCCCAGUCAUUGUUUUUUUUCCUCAAAAAAUAUCUCUCUGCCUUGUUGCCAAGCCUCUAAUAAGCUUCAAGCAUAUAUGAAUGACAAGUCUGAUUUUUCUCACUAUCAUUUUGCUAAAAUUUGACCAUUUAGAAGCAAUUAGAUCAUCUACUUGAAGUGGUGUAUAGCAUGAAUUUUCUCUAAAUUUUCAGAGCUGGCAUCUAACUAUUCAAAAGGUUAUUUAAGAGGAAAUGAGAGAUGAAGGAUGGGUAGGUUGGAGAGAGAAAAAAAGGAAAGAAAGAAGGAAAGGAAGGAGGAGAAAAAUGUAGGAAAAGAAAGAAGGCUAAUUACAGAAGACUUUUAGGGAGUUCAAAAUGGAACUCUGAUUUGAAAUGAAUAAAUGAGUUUCUGUCUCUAGUGUUGAUCUAAACCAUCAGCUUCCAGAGUGGAAACCUGAAGCAACCAGAAUAUUAUAGAUUGAUGAAAUUCCAGCUGCUGGCAGAUUUUUUUUUAGUUUUUAAAAAAAAUCAUAUUAGUACAUAUGUGCAGUAUAUGAUGAUUACAUUCCUUACAUGGAGUUGAUACAUGUCCAUAACACGUUUUAAUUUUUUCACCCCCUUUCCUUUCUCUCCCUUUGUACUCCCUCCAUCUCUUGAUUCCGUUCCCAUUUAAGAAAGAUCUAUCUUCCUCCUUUCUAUUGUCAAUCUUUUAUUUUGCACUUUAUUUAUAUUUUAAGUAAAAACCAUAUGACACUUAAACUUGUGUGUCUACUUUAUUUAACUUAGCAUUAUCCAUUUCCCUACAAAUGACCUGUUUGUGCUUCCUUAUGGCAGAAUAGUGCUCCAUUGUGUGUAAAUGCUACAUUUUCUGUACCCAUUCAUCUGUUGAUGAACAUAUAGGCUGCUUCCAAGAUUUAGCUACUAUGGAUUGUGCUGCUAUAAAUAUGGAUAUGCAUGUAUCACUGUAACAUGCUGCUUUUUGGGGAAGACACCAAGAAGUAGAGUAGCUGGAUCAAAUGGAAUUUUUAGUUUUAGUUUUUUGAGGAAUCUCCAUACUGAUUUACAUGGUGAUUGCAAUAGUUUACAUUCUCACCAAAAAUGAAAAAAGGUUCCUUUUCCGCACAGCAUCACCAGCAUUUUUAUUAUUUGAUUUUUUGAUGAUGGCCAUACUUUCUGAAAUAAGAUUAUAUCUCAGUCUUGUUUUAAUUUGCAUUCCAGUAAUGGCCAGCAGUGAUGAACAUUUCCUAAUGUAUUUAUUGGCCAUUAGUAUGUCUUCUGAGAAGUGUCUAUUCAUUUCAGUUUCCCAUUUUUUCAUUGUGUCUUUUAUUUGGGAAGUGUAACUUUUUUUUGAGUUCUUUAUAUAUUCUAGAUAUUAAUCCUCUGUGUGAGGAAUAGCUGACAGUUUAAGAGAAUAUAUAAAGAGGAUGUGAAGGAGGUGAAAAAUCCUAAUUUCUGGUAGAAUCCUUUCCUGAGAUUUAUUCUGAGCAUUAUAAAAUGAUACUUUAAGAAGAAGUAAUAACAUAAUGCCUUUCCUUUAUUGAAGCACAUUCUAUUCUGCUAAAUUCCCUUUAGGAAAUAACAUUAGGACCAUUUGAAUCAAAAUUAAAUUGCAGAUACAUCUGGGGUAAAAUUUACCAGCUGUUGAGUGAAGGAGCUGUAUUUUUUAAUAUUUACUUCUUAUAUGAUUGUAUAAUUUAUAAUUAUUAUAAAAUGUUAAGAAAGCAGAGAGUAAGCAGAAAACAUCCAUAAUCCCAUUACAUUGAAACAACCAUUAUUAACAAAUUUUUAGAUCACCUUCAAGUGUCUUUGCUAGACUUUAACAUAAUUGUGCAUAUAUUUCAUACAUAAGGUUGUAUCUUAUUUUUAAUUCAGUAUUAUUUUUUAAAUUUUUUCCAUUAAGUUUAUUGGUACAUUUUAGGUAUAAAAUACAGUUACAUUCAUCAUUGGGAUCUUGUACCUUUACAUGAGUAUCUUGGUUCUUAUUUUUUUCUCCUUCCCCUGCCCUCCCUUCAACCCCUCUACCCUUCCCUAUUUGCAAAGACUGUUUCCCUUUUUUUCCUUUUCUCAUAUAUUUUCUUUUCCCUUCUUUCCUUUCCCCUACCCCUCCCACUUCCCCUACUCCUUUAGACCUUUUCUUCCUAUGACACAAUCUCAAUUAUACAUUUUUUAAAUUACAAUAUCAAGAUCUAGGAGACAUUACCACAUAUUUUAUAGAAUUUAAAAGGAUAUAGAAGGCAUAUUACAAAAAUCUUUUUUGAAAUAAAUUUGACAACUUCUAAGAAAUACCUUGGAAGACAAAUUAAUGAAACUAUGGAGGAAAUAUAAAAUUUGAAUAGCAACUAUUAAAGAAAGUAUAUUCCCAGCUUGAAAACCUACCUUUAUGACAACAGCAGACUCAUAUACAUUUUAACUGAUAAAUUAUAUCAAACAUUUAAAGCAGAAAAAAGAAGGAACACUUCUCCCCUCAUUUUAGGAAAUCAACGUUGUACUAAUACUAAAACUGGAUAAAGAUAAUAGAAGAAAAAAAGUAUGAACAUACAUAAAAAUUUGUUUAACAAAACAAACUAUUAGCAGUCAGAUUUGGCAGUAUGUAGAAAGUGGUUUUGUUAUAGGGAUGGCAGUGUUGGUUCAGCAUUGGAAGAUCCACCCCCAAAAGUCAUCAUUUUAACAGAGGACAGGAAAAAGCCAUAUGAUCCUGUCAGUAUUUGGAAAAAAAAGUAUUGGAUUAAAUUCUACAGCUGUUCAUGGUAAAAACUAUCAGGAGACUAGAAGUAGAACAGUACCUUCUCAACAGAUCAAAGACAUGUACUCCAUACUUCCAGCAAAAACGCCUUAUAUAAAUGGAGAAGAUACAAUGCUUUCUCCCUAAGGUGAGGAACAAGGGAAGAUAGGCCUAUUCUUCAUCUGUCCAUUAAACUUUGAAACAUAGGCCCAAACCAAAAUAGUCUGGCAGGGCCGGGGAUUUAGCUCAGUGGUUCCGCUGCCUGCCUCGCAAGGGGAAGGACCCAAGUUCAAUCCCCGGUACCAAAAAAAAAAAAAGGGAACUGAAGCUCAGGCCAGGGAUUUAGCUCAGUGGUUCUGGCGCCUGCCUUGCAAGGGGAAGGACCCAAGUUCAAUCCCUGGUACAAAAAAAAAAAAAAAAAUCAUCUGGCAAUAAAAUGAAACAAUUAGGAUAGGAUUGGCAAGGUAGAAGUAAAAUCUUUAUAUUCUUUAUAUGUAGAUGAAAUGAUCAUCUACAGAGAAAAUGCUAAGAAAUCUCUAGGAGCCCCUAGAACUUGUAUUUGAAUUUAGCAGGAUUAGAAAACACAGGGUAUAUAUAAAAGUUCAGGUCUAUGUAUACUUGCUAUAAAUGAAGAAUUGGAUAUUGAAAUUUAAAAGUUAUGUAGAAGUACACAGGACCUAGAAAAGUAAAAAGAAAAAAAAAACAGUGUUUGAAGACAUUUAGUACCUAAUUUUAAGACUUCCUCUAAAGCUACAGUAAUCAAGUCAGUGUUGGUGUAAGGAAAGACAUAUAGAUCAUUGGAAUAAAACAGAGAAUCUAGAAAUAGAACCACACAUAUAUGGUCCACUGAGUUUUGAAAGAUUAUUUAACAUUAAUGUUUUAUAGAACAUAAACUCAAUUCAAGAGCAGAGGAAAAGAUAGUGUUUUCAGCAAAUGACACUAGAAUACCUGGUAUCCGUAUAUAAAAAAUUAACCUCAACCCUUUAUUUCCAUACAUAAAAAUAUCUUGAAAGGAUCUAUGAACUUAAAUAUGAGAGAUUAAAAAAAAGAAAUUAUCAGGGAAAAUGUUUAUGAAUUUAGGGUAGGCAAGAAUUUCUAGGAUAGAAAAAACAGGAUGUAUAAAGGAAAAAAUUGAUAAAUGAGAUUCCAUUAAAAUUUAGAACUUUAAAUGACAUCAUUAAGAAAAUGAAAAGUAAUCCUUAAACAGACCAUAUUUACAAUGCAUAUAACCUAUGACCAGAAUAUGUAAAGAACACUUGCACCUCAUUAAUAGACAACUCAAUUGAAAAGUAGACACAAGAAGAUGAUAAAUAGCCAGUAUAGCACAGGGAAAGGUGUGCAACACUAGAAUCAGAAAAAUACUAAUCAGUACAAUAACAAGAUUGAAUUAUACACUCAUUAGGGAGAUGAAGUUAAAAGUUUUAAAAGAACAAAUGUCAGCUUAGGUAUGAACCAAUUAGAACUUUCUAAUACUGCUAAUGUGAAUGUAAAAUGAUAAAACCAUUUUGGAAAAUAAUAUAGAAAUUUCUUGUAUUACUGUUAAGAACCAACAGUUCUGUUCUUAAGUUUUUACUUGAGAGAAAUGAAAACACAUGUUCACAAUAGAUUUGUAUAUACAAGUUGACUAUCCCUUAUCUGAAAUUCUUGGGACCAGAGUGUUUCAGAUUUUCAUUUGAAAUCCACUUGAUCUACAAAGAGGAUAGCUACUUCUGCUUUUUUUUUUUUUAUUCCUGUCACGUGGAGUAUUGUUUUCUACCCUUUUACUUUCAGUCUGUGAGUUUCUUUUUGAAUUAAAUGUGUUUCUUGUAUGCAGCAUAUUGUUGGAUCUUGCUUCUUGACCCAUUCUGCCAGUCUAUAUCUUUUGAUUGAUGAAUUGAG
Molecule: long non-coding RNA, 30739 nt
Filed under: Heterocephalus glaber (naked mole-rat)
Lineage: Eukaryota; Metazoa; Chordata; Mammalia; Rodentia; Bathyergidae
Description: lncRNA (ENSHGLG00100052526.1)
Source: RNAcentral